Brassica napus (rape) is the source of this 758-nucleotide long non-coding RNA. RefSeq lists it as uncharacterized. The record is from RefSeq and is a predicted model, not a curated record. Lineage: Eukaryota; Viridiplantae; Streptophyta; Magnoliopsida; Brassicales; Brassicaceae. The transcript is spliced from 3 exons.
UCUCUUGUUCCCGUCGAAUCUCUCGUUCAGAUGAAUCGUCUCAUCUCUUCCUCACUUUUGAUUGAUAAUACUCAUGAGUCAAUAGAGAGGAGGAGGGAAGGAUAAUGGAAUCAAUGCUCUCUCUGAUUGAAUUAAUGUUCUCUCUGAUGCUUUCCUUGAAUCAAUAGAGAGGAGGAGGGAAGGAUAAUGGAAUCGAAACCCAGUGGACCAGUGGCGUUAACAGCGGAAGAAGAAGCCGUUUCCUUGAAUCAGUCUCUCUCUCUCUCUAUCUGAAACCAUUAAGCGUGUCAUCAGAUCAAAUCGUGUCAUUGUUGAAGGAAAGAAUCUGAUCAAGAAGCAUAUCAAGGGAGGUCCUGAUCAUGGGAUAUUCACGGAACGCAGUAGAAAGGCAGGGCGUGCGAGAAGACAGUGUACCCUAUGGAGCUUCUCUCAGCUGAUGGUGUCCCUUUUCACAAGUCUUGCUUCAAGUGCUCUCACUGCAAAUCCACCCUUCAAGUCAGUUUUUUUACUUCCCCCUUUCAUCACUCUCUGUCUAUGAAUAUCAACGAAUGUUUGAUAAUAACUUGGAUUGUCUACGUUGAUAUUUUCAUAUGUUUGUUCUUCCUUCUUUUUCUCAUGUUCUUUCUUCACAUGUGUUCUUGUUAAUUUUUUUUUUAAGAACCCCUAAAUAAGAGAUUCCCAUUGGAACACAAAUAUGUUAGUGUCUCUUAACUAGAUUUCUUAAGUAACAUUUAAUACUUAAAAAUGAUUAAGAGAUC